UCCCACCUCUGUUGUUUGGGUUAAUGAUACUACUUUUUCAUGGCGGUCUUUGCCAGCACAAAAUUGGGAGGUGAGUUGAUGCAGUUGUUUGCUCCCACUUCCUGUCCUCCAUCAAUCAUGUUCAUUUCCCCCACUAUCCCCCAGUACCUGGCUUGACACCUGUGUACCUAGCUAAGCUACAGUUUCAGUUUAAUAAGGAAGUUCGUAUUCUUCCUACCCCCUCUGGCCCUUUCCACAGUCUGUAUUCAGUGGAAUCUGAGGCUCUUUUGCCAUAAAACAAGUUUUUUCUCCUGAUGGAGGCAGACCCCCUGUAUUUUACUGAAUUUCACUGAGUGGAGAAAGCAUUUCUGCUUACACUUUCCUGCUGUGUUCAGCCUUUACCCUUGAGGCUCAUAGUUAUGUAUAAGUACGGUAGUCAAUGGGAUGAAAAAUUUAUUAUUUUAUGCAGAUGUUUACAUUUGUUUUUCAUUUCCACCUCCCCUGCUCUCUUUAGUGACUUAUGUUGAUGAAGAUGAAGAUGAAAUACUUGAAUUAUCAUCAAAUCAAACAUUCUUGGUCUCACUGAAGAUUCCAGAGGAGUGUGCUGCUGAAGAGGAUUUGCGUCACCUGCUCACCGAAAGGGUAAUUCCAUCUUACGUAUGGCUUAAGGAGUUCUUUGUUGUGUCUUAAUCAAGAAAUUCCCCUUUUCAAAGUACAUUGGAUUUCUCUGCUCUGUUCUCUAGAUCCUCAUUUCACUUAAUACCUUCUUAGUUCUUCAUAAUUUUAGAUAUAUUUUCAUGUUUAUCUUGAGUUGUUUUGGCUUCUGCAUUCCCAUUGAGAAAGAUAAUUUAACAAUUAACAUUUUCUCGUAUCUCAUUGCUUUGGCAUUUUUGUUGCUAAGUUUUCAUGAGACCCAUAUAAUAUAAACUUCCCCAUUUUUCCAUAAACUACAAUUUUUAUCUUGAUACUAAAAAAUUUUAAUGCUAUUUAAGGAGAAGGGUGCUACUUUGUUGAAUUCCUGUAAUCAUGGGAAAAUUUUUUCCUCUCACAUUAUUAAAUGUGGUUGCUAUCCCUUUCUAGUAUACCCCCAAAACAAAACAGUGUUUAAUAUUCAAAACUGAUCAUGCAGAGAGAAUGCCUGCUACAGAACCUAGAAAUCUUUGAUCAUAUAUUUCGGUUAAGGAAGUUAGUGAUUCUCAGUAGUGUUCAG
Molecule: long non-coding RNA, 1189 nt
Filed under: Callithrix jacchus (white-tufted-ear marmoset)
Lineage: Eukaryota; Metazoa; Chordata; Mammalia; Primates; Cebidae
Description: lncRNA (ENSCJAG00000076393.1)
Source: RNAcentral